AGCAGAAGCCCGUCCACAAAACCU
This 24-nucleotide non-coding RNA is filed under the name Arabidopsis thaliana (thale cress). The record is from RNAcentral. Lineage: Eukaryota; Viridiplantae; Streptophyta; Magnoliopsida; Brassicales; Brassicaceae.